CCAUGCCAUCCUGAAUGCACCUGAUCUGGUCUCAUCUCAGAAGCUAAGCAGGGUCUGGCCCGGUUAGUAAUUGGAUGAGAGAAAAAUCCAGCAACACUACUUCCAUAUUCACAGGGCAUACCUGGAUG
Ribosomal RNA from Microcebus murinus (gray mouse lemur), 128 nucleotides. The record is from Ensembl. Lineage: Eukaryota; Metazoa; Chordata; Mammalia; Primates; Cheirogaleidae.